This 119-nucleotide ribosomal RNA is filed under the name Helianthus annuus (common sunflower). Lineage: Eukaryota; Viridiplantae; Streptophyta; Magnoliopsida; Asterales; Asteraceae. The record is from RNAcentral.
GGUUGCGAUCAUACCAGCACUAAUGCACCGGAUUCCAUCAGAACUCCGCAGUUAAGCGUGCUUGGGCGAUAGUAGUACUAGGAUGGGUGACCCCCUGGGAAGUCCUCGUGUUGCAACCC